CCUACGGGCGGCAGCAGUGGGGAAUAUUGGACAAUGGGGGCAACCCUGAUCCAGCCAUGCCGCGUGUGUGAAGAAGGCCCUCGGGUUGUAAAGCACUUUCAGUGAGGAAGAACGCCUGGUGGUUAAUACCCAUCAGGAAAGACAUCACUCACAGAAGAAGCACCGGCUAACUCCGUGCCAGCAGCCGCGGUAAUACGGAGGGUGCGAGCGUUAAUCGGAAUUACUGGGCGUAAAGCGCGCGUAGGUGGCUUGAUAAGCCGGUUGUGAAAGCCCCGGGCUCAACCUGGGAACGGCAUCCGGAACUGUCAAGCUAGAGUGCAGGAGAGGAAGGUAGAAUUCCCGGUGUAGCGGUGAAAUGCGUAGAGAUCGGGAGGAAUACCAGUGGCGAAGGCGGCCUUCUGGACUGACACUGACACUGAGGUGCGAAAGCGUGGGUAGCAAACAGGAUUAGAUACCAUAGUC
This 462-nucleotide ribosomal RNA is filed under the name Vreelandella stevensii. RNAcentral describes it as "partial 16S ribosomal RNA". It matches the Rfam family "Bacterial small subunit ribosomal RNA", at positions 338 to 795 of the family's 1533-position model. The record is from RNAcentral. Lineage: Bacteria; Pseudomonadati; Pseudomonadota; Gammaproteobacteria; Oceanospirillales; Halomonadaceae.